This 492-nucleotide ribosomal RNA is filed under the name uncultured bacterium. RNAcentral describes it as "partial 16S ribosomal RNA". It matches the Rfam family "Bacterial small subunit ribosomal RNA", at positions 30 to 507 of the family's 1533-position model. The record is from RNAcentral.
AUUGAACGCUGGCGGUAUGCUUUACACAUGCAAGUCGAACGGUAACACACCACAAGCUGCUUACUACUGGCGGACGGUUGCGUAAUGCAGCGGAACACGCCCGGAUGUAGUGUUUAGCUACUCGUAAGGUAGGGUAAUACACGCUACUACCUCUUACGACAUACGGGUGACAGUAGGGCAUCUUCCGACUUUGCGCGCCUAUAUGAGACGAUGUCGGAUGAGGUAGUUGGCGGGGUAAAGGCACACCAAGGCAACGAUCCGUAGCUGGUCUGAGAGGACGACCAGCCACACUGGGACUGAGACACGGCCCAGACUCCUACGGGAGGCAGCAGUGGGGAAUUUUGGACAAUGGGCGCAAGCCUGAUCCAGCAAUGCCGCGUGCAGGAAGAAGGCCUUCGGGUUGUAAACUGCUUUUGUACGGAAAGAAAAGGAUCUGGUUAAUACCCGGCGCUAAUGACGGUACCGAAAGAAUAAGCACCGGCUAACUACGUG